CGAAUUGGUCUCAUGGUGCCAAUGCUCUCGAGGAUGGAGAGGGAGCGAACGACGGUUUCGGAGAUUAGGGUUUCAGCUGACGGAAGAGAGAGAGAGUAUCCAUGGAAAUACUCUUGAAGCGGCGAUUGAACAUGUGGAUUGCGAAAACCUGAGGGGAUCCUGAUGGUAAAUUACAACAGUAAUUUUAUAGUUUUCAAUCUGAAUCUUAUACGAUUGCUGCUCGUUGUUUCCGCUCUUUCUCUCUCUCUCUCUUCCUCGCUGUCUCUGCUCUGCUGCUUUGCUCGUUCGCUCCCUUCGGAGCCUCGUGAUGAAGCUUUUCUGAAGUUGACUGCAGUCUACCCACGGCCACAGGACUUCACAAUGAUAUUGAUAUGCUUGCAUGUUUACUGAGGCAAAAGGAGUGCAUGUACAAGAUGCUUGAAGGGAACGCAUUUGUUCGUAAGCCCUAUACCAUGUGAAGAUCUUGGAUCAUUUUUUUUCCCUCUGAAAGGAAACAGUCUAGAUCUUGAAUCUCGGCUCCACCAAUCUUGAUAUCUAAGCGAGAGAAACACUGCGGUGUGCCUUGAGAAAAUCGGUAGUUAAGGAAGAUGUAGGUUCCUGUCCUGGUGUGCUUUUGACAGCAAGGCUUGAUUUACAUCUCUUUCUUCCCUUGGAACCCAAACCCAAUAGGGGCCCAAAAUAACACCUUCAAGCAAGAAUAUGGUCAUUAACACAAAGGACUCACGACCACAAGUGCAUAAAGAGAUAUCGAGUUUAACAUUAAUAUUAAAUUUAAUUAGCAUCGGGGGCCUUGGCCUUGUGAGACAUUCUUCUAGAGUCUAUGCUAUGUGGAUGCAUGUGCCAUGUAUUGGUGAUUGUACUUGAUUGUAGAUGUGUUCACGGGUUGGGUUGGGUUAUAGGGAUUUUUUGGACUAACCCAAAAAUUCGGGUUUGUUGAGUCUGCUACCCGAAAGACCCAAGUGAAGUUCGUAACCCAACCUAACCCAACUCUCAUAUUUUCGGUUGGGCCAGGUUGGGUUGGAAUUUCAGAGGGA
Non-coding RNA from Momordica charantia (bitter melon), 1034 nucleotides. The record is from RefSeq and is a predicted model, not a curated record. NCBI's taxonomy places the organism in Eukaryota, Viridiplantae, Streptophyta, Magnoliopsida, Cucurbitales, Cucurbitaceae.